Molecule: ribosomal RNA, 253 nt
Filed under: uncultured bacterium
Lineage: Bacteria
Description: partial 16S ribosomal RNA
Rfam family: Bacterial small subunit ribosomal RNA
Source: RNAcentral
UACGUAGGGGGCAAGCGUUGUCCGGAUUUAUUGGGCGUAAAGAGCGUGUAGGCGGCCUGAAAGGUCAGCUGUGAAAACUCGAGGCUCAACCUCGAGACGUCGGUUGAAACCAUCUGGCUAGAGUCCGGAAGAGGAGUGUGGAAUUCCCGGUGUAGCGGUGAAAUGCGCAGAUAUCGGGAAGAACACCCGUGGCGAAGGCGGCACUCUGGGACGGUACUGACGCUGAGACGCGAAAGCGUGGGGAGCGAACAUG